ACCACAGCCCACGCUCUAGGGAUCACUUCUUUGUCACAGACAUUUAAGUACUGUCCUCGCAUGGCAGGGCUAAAUCUACCAGCAUGCAGAAAUGAAAGCUCUGACACUCAGCUUUCAACAAACCAGAGGUGAGCAGAAGACAGAUGAGCAUCCGACACAGCAGGGAAGUUGCUAUUGCAAUAGAGGAGUGCAAGCAAACAUGCAAUUGACUUCUCCCUUCCCAGCCAAAAUGACUUCUGCUGCCUGGAAUCCAGUUCUGCCUCUCCUAAAUGAAUCCUCUUACAUUCAUUUCCGGCUCUUCUGCAACGGAUCAGUCCUCAUCCAGCGAGAACCAAGACUCUUUCACAAGUCUCUGACUGCUUUUCAGUCCAUUCUUCAUGCAUUGCCAGAAGGAUUUUUCAAACUCCAAGCUUCCCCUCCCUUCCUUAAAGGCAGUCAGGCAUCCACCAUUAUCUUCUGUGUGAAGUCCUAAUGCCAUAUGCCUCUCCCAAGGGCCAUUGGUAGGGAAAAGCCCCUGGCCAUGUAUGCAUCUUGACUUGCCAGUUUCAGAAGCAUAUCCAACUAACGGCCCACACUGGACCUUUAAGUUCCAAAACCUGGAUGACAGAGCUGAAGUGGCCUUGAAGUCGGCAAGCCUAAUCCCUCUUGGUGCUGAAAAGCAUCGCUGUGCUUGCUUCUAGUUUGUGGGAGGUUAUGAGGAGCAAAUAAGAACAUGUUUAGCAAAUCCUAUAAAGUCCAUCCCAGCAUACAAAGGAGGGGUGAGAUUACCACUGUACCUGUUGUAAAGCUCAUGGCUAGAAGGCUCCAGAUGCCCAGCUCACCAAAAUCCACCAAGCAGAGCACUGGGAGUCCUCAGGAGCUGUCCUAUACGUGCUCCCCAGCACCAGAAUCAGCACCCAUUGCUCCUUCCAGUGCCAUUCACCACCACCACCAAGGAGCAUUUGGAGGCUGUGACAAAAUAUGGAGAUGGCUCCUUCCCUACAUGGGGGAUGAGAGCCCCAGAAUGCUGAUUUAGGGCUCUGUCUUCCUUGGUGCCCUAUCCCCUCCUAAAAUCCUGGUCAGUCUCCAAGACAUUAUCAAGGAGAGAGGCUCGUUGGGGGAGUGAGCAAAAGAUGGCCCUCUCUCCUGUUGCAUCAGUUUCCCCUCAAAGGUCUUUCCUUCUUUCCACUUCCAAGAUGCUUAGCAUAGUAUCUGAGAUGGGCCUACAGUGAUGACCCCAGGCUGGAAGUGGAGCACACAGAAUCCUUGAGGUUGUAAUUUUCCUGUGAUCAGACCAGGUCCUCAGUAAAAUUUGUUACAUGUAUAUGGCCCUGAAAUAGCUGUUUGAGGGAAGUCCAGACUGUGGCUUCUCUGUGGAAAUUCUAGAGAAAUUAUUAGGACAAGACCAGAGGUGGUUGGCCAGCAAAACAACCAAACCUGACAGGAGAGGGCCUGAGGAUGUGAAAUGCAAAGUGUUCAUCAUUCAUGGGGACUUGCAGAGACACCCAGGAGAGAGGCAGAAUUCCUGAGCCAUUAAGACAGGGAAACCAGAUGGUUGGACUGCACAGAUGGUGGCCACAUGCAUGUAUCUAGAAGCCAAGAAGGAGCAGGAGAACUAAAUGCUUGGGUGGAGUUCAGGCCAUAUUUGGAAGACUACAAACAGGAUCCCAAACAAAAGACAAAGACUCUCUUAAGAACUUCCCUUUGCUCAGUUGUGACAAAGCCAGGACAAUCAUGUUCCUGAAAUAUCUGCCACCAAGGCCACGUGUCCGCUCUCCGACUCCUUCUUGGCUGCUCUGAUCUGCCAGCAGCAGCACAGGAAGGAAGGGUCCCUUGCAGCAGGGUCCCUUGGAGGCCCUGGCAGGGCUUCCUGAUGCAAGGCUAAGGGCGAUGUUCAAGGCAGGGUGGAAGAGCUCAGCUCAAUCAAAGCCAGACAAAGGCCUGUUGGAACACGGAUGGGGCUGUGUGAAAUGACUUUAGUCAAUUCACUUAUUCAAUGCCAUUGUCAGUUAUACUUCAUGGGGUAGGUGCUUGAAAUGUUUCUUAUGCUCUUGGGCCUUAUAGUCUACCAGGUGAUAACAAAGCUAGUAUAGAAAAUACAGUGUAAGAUGAAGAUCGGGAACACUGGAAGAGGGCCAGUUGCACCUUCAAUAGAACAGAAUAGAGUAAUAUUUGGGUAAAUGAAAGCCAUGAGGAAGACCAUUUUUGCCAAAAUCCCUGAAGGGAGCACGUGAUGAUGUGUUCUGAUGACAGCAAAGAGGCCAGCGUGUCUGAGGCGCAGAGGAGCACUGGAAAAAGUAACUGAUGCACUGAAGAAGUCAUGAAACCAAGUCACGUGAACAUCAAAAGCCAUUGCAGAAUGUGUAAUCUACUAACAGUCAGAAUAAAACUGUGGUGAGCACCA
Molecule: long non-coding RNA, 2383 nt
Organism: Apodemus sylvaticus (European woodmouse)
Lineage: Eukaryota; Metazoa; Chordata; Mammalia; Rodentia; Muridae
Exons: 4
Source: RefSeq, a predicted model, not a curated record